AUUGAACGCUGGCGGCAGGCUUAACACAUGCAAGUCGAGCGGGGGAAGGUAGCUUGCUACCGGACCUAGCGGCGGACGGGUGAGUAAUGCUUAGGAAUCUGCCUAUUAGUGGGGGACAACAUCUCGAAAGGGAUGCUAAUACCGCAUACGUCCUACGGGAGAAAGCAGGGGAUCUUCGGACCUUGCGCUAAUAGAUGAGCCUAAGUCGGAUUAGCUAGUUGGUGGGGUAAAGGCCUACCAAGGCGACGAUCUGUAGCGGGUCUGAGAGGAUGAUCCGCCACACUGGGACUGAAACACGGCCCAGACUCCUACGGGAGGCAGCAGUGGGGAAUAUUGGACAAUGGGGGGAACCCUGAUCCAGCCAUGCCGCGUGUGUGAAGAAGGCCUUAUGGUUGUAAAGCACUUUAAGCGAGGAGGAGGCUACUCUAGUUAAUACCUAGGGAUAGUGGACGUUACUCGCAGAAUAAGCACCGGCUAACUCUGUGCCAGCCGCAGCGGUAA
RNAcentral lists this ribosomal RNA (501 nucleotides) under uncultured bacterium. RNAcentral's name for it is "partial 16S ribosomal RNA". It matches the Rfam family "Bacterial small subunit ribosomal RNA", at positions 30 to 523 of the family's 1533-position model. The record is from RNAcentral.